CCAAUAGCGUAUAUUAAAGUUGUUGCAGUUAAAAAGCUCGUAGUUGAAUUUCGAGACCGGUUUACUGGUCGUGCUUUUGUACGUACUGGUAUUAUUGGUUUCUCCUUUCUGACGAAUCAUAAUGCCAUUAAUUUGGUGUUUUGGGGAAUCAGGACUGUUACUUUGAAAAAAUUAGAGUGUUUAAAGCAGGCUCACGCUUGAAUACAUUAGCAUGGAAUAACGAAAUAGGACGUUUGAUUUUAUUUUGUUGGUUUCUAGGAUCGACGUAAUGAUUAAUAGGGAUAGUUGGGGGCAUUAGUAUUCAAUUGUCAGAGGUGAAAUUCUUGGAUUUAUUGAAGACUAACUACUGCGAAAGCAUUUGCCAAGGAUGUUUUCAUUAAUCAAGAACGAAAGUUAGGGGAUCGAAGACGAUCAGAUACCGCCGUAGUCUUAACCAUAAACUAUGCCGACUAGGGAUCGGAUGAUGUUAAUUUUUUAAUGACUCAUUCGGCGCCUUACG
Molecule: ribosomal RNA, 499 nt
Filed under: uncultured Glomeromycotina
Lineage: Eukaryota; Fungi; Glomeromycota
Description: partial small subunit ribosomal RNA
Rfam family: Eukaryotic small subunit ribosomal RNA
Source: RNAcentral